Molecule: long non-coding RNA, 369 nt
Organism: Hipposideros armiger (great roundleaf bat)
Lineage: Eukaryota; Metazoa; Chordata; Mammalia; Chiroptera; Hipposideridae
Exons: 4
Source: RefSeq, a predicted model, not a curated record
GGGAGAUGGAGUCAGGAGUGCCGAACACCAAUGCACUGUCCACCAGGAGCUCCAGUCCACCUGGUCUGCAGAGUGCGGCUUGGGAGCCAAAUGCCAGGUACCACAGGGGACCCGAUCGCCUGGGGCAUUUCCAGGAAAUCUGCAACUUUUCGCCAACGGACAAGAAAUCAUCUGUUGAAAAAAAUAGGAACGAUAUUGUGACUCUGACCAUCUCUAUCUGCCGGCGGGUCACCUGGACCGGUUCCUCUGCUAUCUUCUCAUAGCCCAUGCCCAUUCUGGUUGGCUCCAUCUUGACGGUGUGUAAGAGCCCUUGACCGUUAAUCUGUAUGCACUCUGGUACCUGGAUCCUGACAAUGCUGGAAAGCUGAC